UACGUAGGGGCAAGCGUUGUCCGGAUUUAUUGGGCGUAAAGAGCGUGUAGGCGGCCUGAAAGGUCAGCUGUGAAAACUCGAGGCUUAACCUCGAGACGUCGGUUGAAACCAUCUGGCUAGAGUCCGGAAGAGGAGUGUGGAAUUCCCGGUGUAGCGGUGAAAUGCGCAGAUAUCAGGAGGAACACCGAUGGCGAAGGCAGGUCUCUGGGCAUUAACUGACGCUGGAGGAGCGAAAGCAUGGGGAGCGAACAGG
This 253-nucleotide ribosomal RNA is filed under the name uncultured bacterium. RNAcentral describes it as "partial 16S ribosomal RNA". It matches the Rfam family "Bacterial small subunit ribosomal RNA", at positions 524 to 776 of the family's 1533-position model. The record is from RNAcentral.